AUUGAACGCUGGCGGCAUGCUUUACACAUGCAAGUCGAGCGGCAGCGCGGGGGCAACCCUGGCGGCGAGCGGCGAACGGGUGAGUAACGCAUCGGAACGUAUCCUGUAGUGGGGAAUAACUCAUCGAAAGGUGAGCUAAUACCGCAUAAGCUCUGAGGAGGAAAGCGGGGGACCGAAAGGCCUCGCGCUGCAGGAGCGGCCGAUGUCCGAUUAGCUAGUUGGUGAGGUAAAGGCUCACCAAGGCGACGAUCGGUAGCUGGUCUGAGAGGAUGAUCAGCCACACUGGGACUGAGACACGGCCCAGACUCCUACGGGAGGCAGCAGUGGGGAAUUUUGGACAAUGGGGGAAACCCUGAUCCAGCCAUGCCGCGUGAGUGAAGAAGGCCU
This 387-nucleotide ribosomal RNA is filed under the name uncultured bacterium. RNAcentral describes it as "bacterial SSU rRNA". It matches the Rfam family "Bacterial small subunit ribosomal RNA", at positions 29 to 417 of the family's 1533-position model. The record is from RNAcentral.